This 741-nucleotide ribosomal RNA is filed under the name uncultured bacterium. RNAcentral describes it as "bacterial SSU rRNA". It matches the Rfam family "Bacterial small subunit ribosomal RNA", at positions 1 to 737 of the family's 1533-position model. The record is from RNAcentral.
UACGGUUACCUUGUUACGACUUAGCCCCAGUUACUUAAGAGUUUGAUCUGGCUCAGGACGAACGCUGGCGGCGUGCUUAACACAUGCAAGUUGAACGGUCCGGCAUGGAAGCUUGCUGAAGUGUCGGGUAGUAGCGGACGGGUGAGUAAUGCAUGAGAAGCUGCCAUUGGGAGGGGGACAACAGUUGGAAACGGCUGCUAAUACCCCAUAUGCCGGAAGGUGAAACGGAGUGAUCCGCCCGAUGAGGUGCUCAUGUCCUAUCAGCUUGUUGGUGAGGUAACGGCUCACCAAGGCGACGACGGGUAGCCGGCCUGAGAGGGCGACCGGCCACACUGGAACUGAGAUACGGUCCAGACUCCUACGGGAGGCAGCAGUGGGGAAUAUUGGGCAAUGGGGGAAACCCUGACCCAGCGACGCCGCGUGAGGGAAGACGGCCUUCGGGUUGUAAACCUCUUUUGUACGGGAAGAAGGACGUGACGGUACCGUGCGAAUAAGUCCCGGCUAACUACGUGCCAGCAGCCGCGGUAAUACGUAGGGGACGAGCGUUGUCCGGAAUUACUGGGCGUAAAGGGCGCGCAGGCGGUAUAUCAAGUCAGCUGUCAAAGACUGGGGCUCAACCCUGGUAUGCGGUUGAAACUGAUAUGCUGGAGUGCUGUAGAGGCAAGUGGAAUUCCCAGUGUGGCGGUGAAAUGCGUAGAUAUUGGGAAGAACACCGGUGGCGAAGGCGACUUGCUGGGCAGC